GAUGAACGAUGGAGGCGUGCUUAACACAUGCAAGUCGAACGGUGAAGGCGGAGCUUGCUCUGCUGGAUCAGUGGCGAACGGGUGAGUAACACGUGAGCAAUCUGCCCCUGACUCUGGGAUAAGCGCUGGAAACGGCGUCUAAUACUGGAUACGAGCUGCGAAGGCAUCUUCAGCAGCUGGAAAGAACUUCGGUCAGGGAUGAGCUCGCGGCCUAUCAGCUUGUUGGUGAGGUAACGGCUCACCAAGGCGUCGACGGGUAGCCGGCCUGAGAGGGUGACCGGCCACACUGGGACUGAGACACGGCCCAGACUCCUACGGGAGGCAGCAGUGGGGAAUAUUGCACAAUGGGCGAAAGCCUGAUGCAGCAACGCCGCGUGAGGGACGACGGCCUUCGGGUUGUAAACCUCUUUUAGCAGGGAAGAAGCGAAAGUGACGGUACCUGCAGAAAAAGCGCCGGCUAAGUACGUG
RNAcentral lists this ribosomal RNA (468 nucleotides) under uncultured bacterium. RNAcentral describes it as "partial 16S ribosomal RNA". It matches the Rfam family "Bacterial small subunit ribosomal RNA", at positions 28 to 507 of the family's 1533-position model. The record is from RNAcentral.